Long non-coding RNA from Zingiber officinale, 692 nucleotides. RefSeq lists it as uncharacterized. Lineage: Eukaryota; Viridiplantae; Streptophyta; Magnoliopsida; Zingiberales; Zingiberaceae. The record is from RefSeq and is a predicted model, not a curated record. The transcript is spliced from 4 exons.
UCUCACCCGAACCCCCUCUCCUCCCGAUCCCUUCCUCCUCCUCUCCUCUGCGCGGCGCCAACCGAUCGCCUCCCUUAAACCGAUGACGCUUCCUCUUCUCCCCUCGCGCACAAAACUACCGGCGGAAGCUUCGAGUCCUUCCCCUUUCCUCUUCCCCUUCUUCCGUGCCCUAGAUCUAUCUCUCGCCUCCGCACCUCUGCACGGGACAAUCUCCGACCGAGGGCAGAGAGGCGUGCCCUAGCCCCGAACCACGACCGACCCAUUUCUCGUCUUUCCAAUCAGAGGCACCACCUUUGCAAGAGGCGAUCUUCAGCCAAAAGGGGAGGGUCCUAGCCCUGGUUUGGUUGGAGUUGAUCAUGAUCUGCUACUUCCUCCUCCCGUGCGCUGGUGGUGAGUUGCAGGACCCUAGCAACAGUGGCCCUUCUACUGGAUUCUAGCCAUUUCAGUAGUUCAGUGAACCCAAAGGUGGUGAAGGUUGCUGGGGCCAGGUCUGCGAUUCUUGGAGAGGAAGCCAAAGUGCGUGUUGUGGAGGAUAUUUGAUUAGCUUUUCAACAACCACAUUAGCUGCAGUCGACAAGUUCCGACAGUGAGUUCUUCAAGAUUGGAUCAGCUGCUGAAGUAUUAGUUUCAGGAUUCGAAUUCGGGACAAGCACUUCGACAUAGAGGUUGAUUAGCUCGAUCUACAUUGGAGG